RNAcentral lists this ribosomal RNA (497 nucleotides) under uncultured bacterium. Its description in RNAcentral is "partial 16S ribosomal RNA". It matches the Rfam family "Bacterial small subunit ribosomal RNA", at positions 28 to 507 of the family's 1533-position model. The record is from RNAcentral.
GAUGAACGCUGGCGGCGUGCCUAAUACAUGCAAGUCGAGCGAACAGACGAGGAGCUUGCUCCUCUGACGUUAGCGGCGGACGGGUGUGUAACACGUGUAUAAUCUACCUAUAAGACUGGGAUAAUUUCGGGAAACCGGAGCUAAUACCGGAUAAUAUACUGAACCGCAUGGUUCAAUAGUGAAAGACGGCUUUGCUGUCACUAAUAGAUGGAUCCGCGCCGCUUUAGCUAGUUGGUAAGUUCACGGCUUUCCAGGGCGACGAUGCGUAACCGACCUGAUAGGGUGGUCGGCCGCACUAGAACUGGAACACGGACCUGGGGCCUGCGGGAGGCAGCAGUAUGGAAUGUGCCGCAGUGGUCGGGAGCCUUGCAGAGCAGCGCGGCGUGAGUGGUGGAAGUCUUCGGAUCGGAAUACUCUGUUAUUAGGUGAGAACAAAUGUGGAAGUAACUGUGCACUUCUUGACGGUACCUAAUCAGAAAGCCACGGCUAACUACGUG